GAAGAGAAACGGUAUCACACCAAAUUUGCAGUCUGACAUUUUAAUCUUGCAAAGUUACUUAAAAGCUGGAAAAAUUGCUGAUGCCUUAAAUUACUUUUGUGAUUUGUCAAAUAGAAGAGGUCUAGGAAGAAAACUAUGGAACAACAUGGUUGUUGGGCUUUGCAAAGCUAACAAGCCUGGAAAUGCAUGGAACAUGUUCUGGGAGAUGAGGUCAACUCAUU
This 221-nucleotide unclassified non-coding RNA is filed under the name Hevea brasiliensis (rubber tree). The record is from RNAcentral. Lineage: Eukaryota; Viridiplantae; Streptophyta; Magnoliopsida; Malpighiales; Euphorbiaceae.